AGUAACAAUUAAAAGUUGAAUAAAUUUUCCCGAUCCCGUCUGAUCUUGGAAGCUAAGCAGGGUCGGGCCUGGUUAGUACUUGGAUGGGAGACCAUCGAGGAAGACAAGGUGCUGUAGGCG
RNAcentral lists this ribosomal RNA (120 nucleotides) under Pteropus alecto (black flying fox). RNAcentral also lists the same sequence under 1 other name. Lineage: Eukaryota; Metazoa; Chordata; Mammalia; Chiroptera; Pteropodidae. The record is from RNAcentral.